CCUACGGGAGGCAGCAGUAGGGAAUCUUCCACAAUGGGCGAAAGCCUGAUGGAGCAACGCCGCGUGAGUGAUGAAGGCCUUCGGGUUGUAAAACUCUGUCAUUCGGGACGAACCGGAGUCUGAGGAAAUGCAGACUCUCUGACGGUACCGGAGGAGGAAGCCCCGGCUAACUACGUGCCAGCAGCCGCGGUAAUACGUAGGGGGCAAGCGUUGUCCGGAUUCACUGGGCGUAAAGCGCGCGCAGGCGGUGAUGUAAGUCUGAGGUGAAAACCCGAAGCUCAACUUCGGGACUGCCUUGGAUACUGCGUCACUUGAGGAUAGGAGAGGCAAGGGGAAUUCCACGUGUAGCGGUGAAAUGCGUAGAGAUGUGGAGGAACACCUGUGGCGAAGGCGCCUUGCUGGCCUAUUCUGACGCUGAGGCGCGAAAGCGUGGGGAGCAAACAGGAUUAGAUACCCUGGUAGUCCACGCUGUAAACGAUGAGUGCUAGGUGUAGGUGGGCUCAUACCCAUCUGUGCCGAAGCUAACGCAUUAAGCACUCCGCCUGGGGAGUACGGUCGCAAGACUGAAACUUAAAUGAAUUGACGG
Molecule: ribosomal RNA, 586 nt
Filed under: uncultured bacterium
Lineage: Bacteria
Description: bacterial SSU rRNA
Rfam family: Bacterial small subunit ribosomal RNA
Source: RNAcentral